This 651-nucleotide ribosomal RNA is filed under the name uncultured Acinetobacter sp. RNAcentral describes it as "bacterial SSU rRNA". It matches the Rfam family "Bacterial small subunit ribosomal RNA", at positions 95 to 739 of the family's 1533-position model. Lineage: Bacteria; Pseudomonadati; Pseudomonadota; Gammaproteobacteria; Moraxellales; Moraxellaceae. The record is from RNAcentral.
GCGGCGGACGGGUGAGUAAUACUUAGGAAUCUGCCUAUUAAUGGGGGACAACAUCUCGAAAGGGAUGCUAAUACCGCAUACGCCCUACGGGGGAAAGCAGGGGAUCACUUGUGACCUUGCGUUAAUAGAUGAGCCUAAGUCAGAUUAGCUAGUUGGUGGGGUAAAGGCCUACCAAGGCGACGAUCUGUAGCGGGUCUGAGAGGAUGAUCCGCCACACUGGGACUGAGACACGGCCCAGACUCCUACGGGAGGCAGCAGUGGGGAAUAUUGGACAAUGGGCGCAAGCCUGAUCCAGCCAUGCCGCGUGUGUGAAGAAGGCCUUUUGGUUGUAAAGCACUUUAAGCGAGGAGGAGGCUACUUGGAUUAAUACUCUAGGAUAGUGGACGUUACUCGCAGAAUAAGCACCGGCUAACUCUGUGCCAGCAGCCGCGGUAAUACAGAGGGUGCGAGCGUUAAUCGGAUUUACUGGGCGUAAAGCGUGCGUAGGCGGCUUCUUAAGUCGGAUGUGAAAUCCCUGAGCUUAACUUAGGAAUUGCAUUCGAUACUGGGAAGCUAGAGUAUGGGAGAGGAUGGUAGAAUUCCAGGUGUAGCGGCGAAAUGCGUAGAGAUCUGGAGGAAUACCGAUGGCGAAGGCAGCCAUCUGGCCUAAUA